GUGGGGAAUCUUGCGCAAUGGGCGAAAGCCUGACGCAGCCAUGCCGCGUGAAUGAUGAAGGUCUUAGGAUUGUAAAAUUCUUUCACCGGGGACGAUAAUGACGGUACCCGGAGAAGAAGCCCCGGCUAACUUCGUGCCAGCAGCCGCGGUAAUACGAAGGGGGCUAGCGUUGCUCGGAAUUACUGGGCGUAAAGGGCGCGUAGGCGGACAGUUUAGUCAGAGGUGAAAGCCCAGGGCUCAAACUUGGAAUUGCCUUUGAUACUGGCUUUCUUGAGUACGGGAGAGGUGAGUGGAACUCCGAGUGUAGAGGUGAAAUUCGUAGAUAUUCGGAAGAACACCAGUGGCGAAGGCGACUCACUGGCCCGUUACUGACGCUGAGGCGCGAAAGCGUGGGGAGCAAACAGGAUUAGAUACCCCGGUAGUCC
RNAcentral lists this ribosomal RNA (425 nucleotides) under uncultured bacterium. Its description in RNAcentral is "partial 16S ribosomal RNA". It matches the Rfam family "Bacterial small subunit ribosomal RNA", at positions 354 to 796 of the family's 1533-position model. The record is from RNAcentral.